RNAcentral lists this ribosomal RNA (248 nucleotides) under Clostridiales bacterium. RNAcentral describes it as "partial 16S ribosomal RNA". It matches the Rfam family "Bacterial small subunit ribosomal RNA", at positions 1 to 211 of the family's 1533-position model. The record is from RNAcentral. Lineage: Bacteria; Bacillati; Bacillota; Clostridia; Eubacteriales.
UUUAAUAUGAGAGUUUGAUCCUGGCUCAGGAUGAACGCUGGCGGCGCGCUUAAGACAUGCAAGUCGAACGGUUCAACAACAUUGCUGAAGAUGAAGAUUUAUCAGAUUUGGAAGCGCCGUUGUUGAAUAGUGGCGGACGGGUGAGUAACACGUGAGCAACCUGCCUUCAAGAGGGGGACAACAGAGAGAAAUUUCUGCUAAUACCGCAUAAGACCACAGUACCGCAUGGUACAGGGGCCAAAGAUUUA